AAUAUCGAACUGUUAAUGGUUUUAACUACUCCUUUACUAAGCCGUGGUGGGAGAUGUUCUAGAGCACGAAAAAUCUUGUUUGAUUUUCUUAAACAUGCUGAGGUUAAUUCAAAUUCCGGAGAGGGAGCCUGAGAAAUAGCUACCACAUCCAAGGACGGCAGCAGGCGCGAAAAUUACCCACUCCCGGCAAGGGGAGGUAGUG
This 202-nucleotide non-coding RNA is filed under the name Trichobilharzia regenti. Its description in RNAcentral is "Eukaryotic small subunit ribosomal RNA". It matches the Rfam family "Eukaryotic small subunit ribosomal RNA", at positions 195 to 469 of the family's 1831-position model. Lineage: Eukaryota; Metazoa; Platyhelminthes; Trematoda; Strigeidida; Schistosomatidae. The record is from Rfam by way of RNAcentral.